GGACUCAACUGUUGUCAGGAGGGCUUUCUGGUCUCUCCUGCUCCUCACACCAAAUUUUGUCCAUAUUUGGCUGUGAGGGAAUGCUGAACAUGGCCUCAGGCAAGGAGUUCAGAGACAUGGGGAAAGGAUGCCCCUUACUCCACGGCAUGGGCAGCCUUGAUGAGGAAACUCCUGUGACUUCUUUCAAUAACUUCAAGCCACAGGAGCCUUUUGACCAGCACUCUGUGACCGAAAGAACCAAAUGGACACUGACGCCGCUGGAAUAAUCCUGGCUCCUGGGUAUGAUCAUCAUAAAAGGAUCACAAUAAACAUGAAAUGGGUGUAGUGUUUACUUGUUAACAGUGAGAA
Hemicordylus capensis (graceful crag lizard) is the source of this 348-nucleotide long non-coding RNA. RefSeq lists it as uncharacterized. The transcript has 4 exons. The record is from RefSeq and is a predicted model, not a curated record. Lineage: Eukaryota; Metazoa; Chordata; Lepidosauria; Squamata; Cordylidae.